Molecule: ribosomal RNA, 206 nt
Filed under: uncultured bacterium
Lineage: Bacteria
Description: partial 16S ribosomal RNA
Rfam family: Bacterial small subunit ribosomal RNA
Source: RNAcentral
CGCGUAGGUGGCCCAGUAAGUCCGUUGUGAAAGUCAAAGGCUCAACCUUUGAAAGCCGAUGGAUACUGCUGGGCUAGAGUCCGGAAGAGGCGAGUGGAAUUCCUGGUGUAGCGGUGGAAUGCGCAGAUAUCAGGAGGAACACCAAUAGCGAAGGCAGCUCGCUGGGACGGAACUGACACUAAGGCGCGAAAGCGUGGGAGCGAACA